CCUCAGCCUCUUGGCCUGGGGCUUGGUCACUCAGGCACAGCUGGCUGCCGGCGGAGCUCACGGGCACGUCACUGCAACCCCCCCCCGGCUUCUACUCCGCGGCUGCUGAGUGACCCCUCAUCUGGGGCUCUCCUCAGCUCUUUCUGGGACAGUGGCGCGGUUGCCCCUCUGUUAGUCUUCCUUGGUCUCUUGUGCUCUGAGGGCCUCUGGAUGUCUAAAGUUUUGAUCUCCUCCAUACCUGCUUCAUGCCCUGGUGGACGAGGCUGUGGCUCCCCACAUGCAGAUCAUUACAUGAAGGAACCUUUUAAAAACAAGCGCGUUCAUGCUCACAGGUGUACACACGGAUGAUCACACACACAAACUACACCCUUUUUGGCUCCUACCUCAAUGCACACUGUGCUGUCGAUCUUGCAUGCUGCACAAUAAUGUUUAAUAUUUAGUAUUUUGUUUUUUUCUUCUUUCUUUCUCAACAGGUGAUCCAGGUGAUUGAUAUAUGUAUUUUUUUUGUCUGCUUAUUUUGUUGGUUUUUGUUUUUUGCCCUUUAUCCCCGUCCCUCUUCUCUGCUGUUUUUCUUUCCCUCUUUCUUUCUCCCUAUUCUUUUCCUCAUUCAAGUCUGUCCAAUAUCUAACAAGUGAAAAUAAAAAAUAAAAUAAACAAUAAAAGGUGAAUCAAAUAGAUCAUUAAGGCAAGGCUGGGAUGGUCCAUUUGGUAAAGUAAAUCCGUUGGGCAUCUUUCUUCGCCUUUAGACAAUAAUUCUAAUGGCAAAAGAACCAAACGGGACAGUCAAAAAAAAAAACAUGAAAAAAACACGAAAAAACAAAAACAUUUCAAUACAAUUGGUCAGAUAUAUCAGAACAGUACUUUUGUUGUCAUUAUGGAUCGAGUUUGUUUGAUGUAAUAUGCAAUAUAUUUGAAAUGUAGACUUAAAUUAUUUUUUUUAAGGUGCUAGAACUGUAUGACGAUUGUUCUUUCCGCAUUUUUACAGGUCAGAUAGUAUAAAAUCAAGUGCUGUAUUUUCACAAUAAUGCUCCAUGUGCAGACUACAGGUCUUCAUAAGUAACUUCACCUGCUAUUCUUUUUCACAUAGUUCAUGCACAAUUUCAGUGUUAGCUGGAGCUAUUUGUUUGCAU
Molecule: long non-coding RNA, 1130 nt
Organism: Astatotilapia calliptera (eastern happy)
Lineage: Eukaryota; Metazoa; Chordata; Actinopteri; Cichliformes; Cichlidae
Source: Ensembl